Molecule: ribosomal RNA, 253 nt
Filed under: uncultured bacterium
Lineage: Bacteria
Description: partial 16S ribosomal RNA
Rfam family: Bacterial small subunit ribosomal RNA
Source: RNAcentral
GACAGAGGAUGCAAGCGUUAUCCGGAAUGAUUGGGCGUAAAGCGUCUGUAGGUGGCUUUUUAAGUUCGCCGUCAAAUCCCAGGGCUCAACCCUGGACAGGUGGUGGAAACUACCAAGCUAGAGUACGGUAGGGGCAGAGGGAAUUUCCGGUGGAGCGAUGAAAUGCGUAGAGAUCGGAAGGAACACCCAAGGCGAAAGCACUCUGCUGGGCCGGCACUGACACUGAGAGACGAAAGCUAGGGGAGCAAAUGGG